Non-coding RNA from Fukomys damarensis (Damara mole-rat), 585 nucleotides. Lineage: Eukaryota; Metazoa; Chordata; Mammalia; Rodentia; Bathyergidae. The record is from the annotation of a RefSeq genome assembly.
AUGGAAGCCCUAGGUCAGCUCCUUUGUCUCCUGUUAAUCUGGUGCCCAGGUAUCACUGGAGAAGCUGUGACGACACAGUCUCCUGCUUCCUUGUUAUUGUCUCUAGGAGAAACAGCCACCAUGACUUGCAAGAUGGGCCAGAGUGUUGGCAGCUACCUAGCCUGGUACCAGCAGAAAUCUGGGCAGCCUCCCAGGCUCAUCAUCUAUGGUGCAUCCACCAGGGCUCCUGGCAUCCCACCGAGGUUCAGUGGAAGUGGGUCUGGUACAGACUUUACCCUCACCAUCAACAGCCUGGAGCCUGAGGAUGUUGGAACUUAUUACUGUCAGCUGAUGAGUGGCUGGUGUCCCCCAGUGGUUCAGUGUGAAACAAAAACCUCCAAGAGACCAUCUGAGUGUUUUGAUUUACCAGCUGCUUCCUCUAUGGGCAGGUGCACUGGUGAUCGCUCAGUUUUAGCAUUUCUGCCUGUAUUUGGAAAUUUAGACGUACCGAACUGGAACUUCAUGGCAGGAUUGUUUUACUCUGUUUUCCAGAAUUUUUCUGGGAUUUACUUAUCCAGCUGGUUUCAGGAAACACUUUCGUGCUAA